UACGUAGGGUGCAAGCGUUAAUCGGAAUUACUGGGCGUAAAGCGUGCGCAGACGGUUUUGUAAGACAGGCGUGAAAUCCCCGGGCUUAACCUGGGAAUGGCGCUUGUGACUGCAAAGCUGGAGUGCGGCAGAGGGGGAUGGAAUUCCGCGUGUAGCAGUGAAAUGCGUAGAUAUGCGGAGGAACACCGAUGGCGAAGGCAAUCCCCUGGGCCUGCACUGACGCUCAUGCACGAAAGCGUGGGGAGCAAACAGG
RNAcentral lists this ribosomal RNA (253 nucleotides) under uncultured bacterium. Its description in RNAcentral is "partial 16S ribosomal RNA". It matches the Rfam family "Bacterial small subunit ribosomal RNA", at positions 524 to 776 of the family's 1533-position model. The record is from RNAcentral.